RNAcentral lists this ribosomal RNA (433 nucleotides) under uncultured bacterium. Its description in RNAcentral is "partial 16S ribosomal RNA". It matches the Rfam family "Bacterial small subunit ribosomal RNA", at positions 29 to 507 of the family's 1533-position model. The record is from RNAcentral.
AACGAACGCUGGCGGCAUGCCUAACACAUGCAAGUCGAACGAGACCUUCGGGUCUAGUGGCGCACGGGUGCGUAACGCGUGGGAACCUGCCCUUAGGCUCGGAAUAACUCCCCGAAAGGGGUGCUAAUACCGGAUAAUGUCUUCGGACCAAAGAUUUAUCGCCUUUGGAUGGGCCCGCGUUGGAUUAGCUAGUUGGUAGGGUAAAAGCCUACCAAGGCGACGAUCCAUAGCUGGUCUGAGAGGAUGAUCAGCCACACUGGGACUGAGACACGGCCCAGACUCCUACGGGAGGCAGCAGUGGGGAAUAUUGGACAAGGGGCGAAAGCCUGAUCCAGCAAUGCCGCGUGAGUGAUGAAGGCCUUAGGGUUGUAAAGCUCUUUUACCCGGGAUGAUAAUGACAGUACCGGGAGAAUAAGCACCGGCUAACUCCGUG